This 721-nucleotide ribosomal RNA is filed under the name uncultured bacterium. RNAcentral describes it as "bacterial SSU rRNA". It matches the Rfam family "Bacterial small subunit ribosomal RNA", at positions 1 to 753 of the family's 1533-position model. The record is from RNAcentral.
AAUUCGAUUGAGUUUGAUCAUGGCUCAGAACGAACGCUGGCGGCAGGCCUAACACAUGCAAGUCGAACGCCGUAGCAAUACGGAGUGGCAGACGGGUGAGUAACGCGUGGGAACAUACCCCUCGGUUCGGAAUAACUCAGGGAAACUUGAGCUAAUACCGGAUAAGUCCGAGGUCUUAAUCGACCUUGGAGAAAGAUUUAUCGCCGGAGGAUUGGCCCGCGUCUGAUUAGCUUGUUGGUGAGGUAAUGGCUCACCAAGGCGACGAUCAGUAGCUGGUCUGAGAGGAUGAUCAGCCACAUUGGGACUGAGACACGGCCCAAACUCCUACGGGAGGCAGCAGUGGGGAAUAUUGGACAAUGGGCGAAAGCCUGAUCCAGCCAUGCCGCGUGAGUGAUGAAGGCCUUAGGGUUGUAAAGCUCUUUUACCCGGGAAGAUAAUGACGGUACCGGGAGAAUAAGCCCCGGCUAACUUCGUGCCAGCAGCCGCGGUAAUACGAAGGGGGCUAGCGUUGUUCGGAAUUACCGGGCGUAAAGCGCACGUAGGCGGAUCUUUAAGUCAGGGGUGAAAUCCCGAGGCUCAACCUCGGAACUGCCUUUGAUACUGGGGAUAUCGAGUCCGGGAGAGGUGAGUGGAACUGCGAGUGUAGAGGUGAAAUUCGUAGAUAUUCGCAAGAACACCAGUGGCGAAGGCGGCUCACUGGCCCGGUACUGACGCUGAGGUG